Molecule: ribosomal RNA, 877 nt
Filed under: uncultured archaeon
Lineage: Archaea
Description: bacterial SSU rRNA
Rfam family: Archaeal small subunit ribosomal RNA
Source: RNAcentral
UUCCGGUUGAUCCUGCCGGACCUGACUGCUAUCGGAUUGAUACUAAGCCAUGCGAGUCAUUGUAGCAAUACAAGGCAGACGGCUCAGUAACGCGUAGUCAAUCUACCCUAUGGACGGGGAUAACCUCGGGAAACUGAGAAUAAUACCCGACAGAACAUUAUGCCUGGAAUGGUUUAUGUUUUAAAUGAUUUAUCGCCGUAGGAUGGGACUGCGGCCUAUCAGUUUGUUGGUGAGGUAAUGGCCCACCAAGACUAUUACAGGUACGGGCUCUGAGAGGAGUGGCCCGGAGAUGGGUACUGAGACACGGACCCAGGCCCUAUGGGGCGCAGCAGGCGAGAAAACUUUGCAAUGUGCGAAAGCACGACAAGGUUAAUCCGAGUGGUUUCUGCUAAAGAAACCUUUUGUUAGUCCUAGAAACACUGACGAAUAAGGGGUGGGCAAGUUCUGGUGUCAGCCGCCCCGGUAAAACCAGCACCUCAAGUGGUCAGGAUGAUUAUUGGGCCUAAAGCAUCCGUAGCUUGCUUUGUAAGUUCUCGGUUAAAUCCAUGCGCUUAACGUAUGGGCUGCCGGUAAUACUGCAAAGCUAGGGAGUGGGAGAGGUAGACGGUACUCGGUAGGAAGGGGUAAAAUCCUUUGAUCUAUUGAUGACCACCUGUGGCGAAGGCGGUUUACCAGAACACGUCCGACGGUGAGGGAUGAAAGCUGGGGGAGCAAACCGGAUUAGAUACCCGGGUAGUCCCAGCUGUAAACUAUGCAAACUCAGUGAUGCAUUGGCUUGUGGCCAAUGCAGUGCUGCAGGGAAGCCGUUAAGUCUGCCGCCUGGGUAGUACGGUCGCAAGACUGAAACUUAAAGGAAUUGGCGGGAAGGGCGAAUUCG